AGCAGCCGCGGUAAUUCCAGCUCCAAUAGCGUAUAUUAAAGUUGUUGCAGUUAAAAAGCUCGUAGUUGAAUUUCGGGGUCAAUAAGUUGGUCGUGCCAAUGGUAUGUACUGGCUUUAUUGAUUCCUACCUCUUGACGAACUGUGAUGCCAUUAAUUUGGUGUUGCAGGAAAUCAGGACUGUUACCUUGAAAAAAUUAGAGUGUUUAAAGCAGGCUUACGCUUGAAUACAUUAGCAUGGAAUAAUGAAAUAGGACGUUUGAACCUAUUUUGUUGGUUUCUAGGAUCGACGUAAUGAUUAAUAGGGAUAGUUGGGGGCAUUAGUAUUCAAUUGUCAGAGGUGAAAUUCUUGGAUUUAUUGAAGACUAACUACUGCGAAAGCAUUUGCCAAGGAUGUUUUCAUUAAUCAAGAACGAAAGUUAGGGGAUCGAAGACGAUCAGAUACCGUCGUAGUCUUAACCAUAAACUAUGCCGACUAGGGAUCGGAUGAUGUUAAUUUUUAAUUAGUACUCAU
This 511-nucleotide ribosomal RNA is filed under the name uncultured Glomus. RNAcentral describes it as "SSU rRNA". It matches the Rfam family "Eukaryotic small subunit ribosomal RNA", at positions 569 to 1079 of the family's 1831-position model. Lineage: Eukaryota; Fungi; Glomeromycota; Glomeromycetes; Glomerales; Glomeraceae. The record is from RNAcentral.